UACGGAGGGUGCGAGCGUUAUCCGGAAUUACUGGGCUUAAAGGGUGCGUAGGCGGCUCGGUAAGUCAGGUGUGAAAGUUUGCGGCUCAACCGUAAAAUUGCUUUUGAUACUGCCGGGCUAGAAUCAGGAUGAGGUCAGCGGAAUGUGGCAUGUAGCGGUGAAAUGCAUAGAUAUGCGAUAGAACACCUAUUGCGAAGGCAGCUGGCUAGACCUGUAUUGACGCUGAGGCACGAAAGCGUGGGGAGCGAACAGG
RNAcentral lists this ribosomal RNA (253 nucleotides) under uncultured bacterium. Its description in RNAcentral is "partial 16S ribosomal RNA". It matches the Rfam family "Bacterial small subunit ribosomal RNA", at positions 524 to 776 of the family's 1533-position model. The record is from RNAcentral.